RNAcentral lists this ribosomal RNA (496 nucleotides) under uncultured bacterium. RNAcentral's name for it is "partial 16S ribosomal RNA". It matches the Rfam family "Bacterial small subunit ribosomal RNA", at positions 29 to 507 of the family's 1533-position model. The record is from RNAcentral.
AUGAACGCUGGCGGCGUGCCUAAUCCAUGCAAGUCGAGCGAACAGACGAGGAGCUUGCUCCUCUGACGUUAGCGGCGGACGGGUGAGUAACACGUGGAUAACCUACCUAUAAGACUGGGAUAACUUCGGGCAACCGGAGCUAAUACCGGAUAAUAUAUUGAACCGCAUGGUUCAAUAGUGAAAGACGGUUUUGCUGUCACUUAUAGAUGGAUCCGCGCCGCAUUAGCUAGUUGGUAAGGUAACGGCUUACCAAGGCAACGAUGCGUAGCCGACCUGAGAGGGUGAUCGGCCACCCUGGAACUGAGACACGGUCCAGACUCCUACGGGAGGAAGCAGUAGGGAAUCUUCCGCAAUGGGCGAAAGCCUGACGGAGCAACGCCGCGUGAGUGAUGAAGGUCUUCGGAUCGUAAAACUCUGUUAUUAGGGAAGAACAAAUGUGUAAGUAACUAUGCACGUCUUGACGGUACCUAAUCAGAAAGCCACGGCUAACUACGUG